GUCGGAACGUGCCCAGAGGACGGGGAUAGCGGCGGGAAACUGCCGGUAAUACCCGAUGAUCUCGAGAGAGCAAAGGUGUGAUUCCGCCUUUGGAGCGGCCGACAUGGUAUUAGCUAGUUGGCGGGGUAACGGCCCACCAAGGCUGUGAUGCCUAGGGGAUGUGAGAGCAUGAUCCCCACCAUUGGGACUGAGACACUGCCCAGACACCUACGGGUGGCUGCAGUCGAGAAUCUUCGUCAAUGGGCGAAAGCCUGAACGAGCGACGCCGCGUGCGGGAUGAAGGCCUUUGGGUUGUAAACCGCUGUCGAGGGGGAUGAAGGCUUGAGGGUACUCCUUCAAGUUUGACAGAGCCCUGGAGGAAGCACGGGCUAAGUUCGUGCCAGCAGCCGCGGUAAUACGAACUGUGCGAACGUUAUUCGGAAUCACUGGGCUUACAGGGUGCGUAGGCGGCUUUUCAAGUCAGGUGUGAAAGCCCCCAGCUCAACCAGGGAAUUGCGCUUGAAACUGGAGAGCUC
Molecule: ribosomal RNA, 515 nt
Filed under: uncultured Planctomycetota bacterium
Lineage: Bacteria; Pseudomonadati; Planctomycetota
Description: bacterial SSU rRNA
Rfam family: Bacterial small subunit ribosomal RNA
Source: RNAcentral